CUCCGCUGUUUCAUAAUUCUCUGGAGACAACCCAGACUAAACACAGAAGCAAUGCCUUGGGGAAGCAUUAGGAACCUCCUAGGUGACUGGACAGCUUCAUUGGGAGUAGAAGCCUGUGCAUCUCUGGGGACUAGAAGGCACUCUAGAUACCUUUCUCUGAAGCUGUCCCCCAUGCCAUUGCAGAGGGAGGAGGGCCAUGUGGAGAAACGAAAGCAGCAGUCAGGUGUGGUCUAAAAGAAAAUCACAAGUUGCUGAGGGCACACAGUGUACAAGCCCAGGAGCCAGCAAGCACAACCCUUAUCAAGGUGAUAAGGACUGCUCAGGAUACCACCCAGUGUGUCAGUCCACUUCCUGUUGCCUGCAAGACUGUCAGCUAUUCCUCCAGAACAUGCCUGCAUGUUGCCAUGCUCCCCGCCAUGGUGAUAAUGGACUGAACCUCUGAAACUCUGGGUUUUAAGUUAUCCCUUCCAGGGCAAAUUAUGGAUUGUGGAGGACAUCAGCAUCUCGGUUGCAGAGACCACGUUAUGUGCUCCUGAGCCCAUCCAGAGGCAGCAGGGCCAGCCCUAAUUCUCUUAGCUGUGACUUGGUGCCAAUGUUGUGUCGUCCUGCUCCGUAUCCUGGGGAUUCUGCAGUGAACAGAGCAGUAGUAUUCCAGCUCUAGUAGAUAUUCUGAAUUCACUGAGCUCAGGUCACCUGGGGUGAUAUAACAGCAUGCUUUCUGUGGCUCUGAGAAGUGGCCAUUGACAACAGCUCCCUGGACCAGAGCCGUGGCUACUGGGACAGCAGAGUUUAGUGGCUGAAAGUGGAGGCACACCUGCUUCCUACCGCCACCACUCACUGACUGCAAUAUGGGACACAGCUUCUUGAACACUAGCACUCAAUGGUGCUUACCACACAGAGCUGGCAUACAGAUUAUGCAAAGUGCAGGUCAGAGCUGAAGUUGCUUCCUUCUACCUGGCAGAGCCCAGAAGAUGGACAUGGGAGACGUUAUUCGGGUGAUUUUAAGGGAAACCCAGUACUUCUGGGAACUACUGGAGCUGAUGAGGGUAAAAGUGACCUCCUGCUGUUGCUUAGAAGACCAUGGACCAUGGACAGAGAGUGUAGGGGUGAACAAGACUGAACUUGGUGGGGCUGGGGCUUCAGUUGUGUUCAAUUAAGAGUCAUCCUUCCAGAACAAAAAGGGAAUCUUGGGCAUCUUCUAACUGCAGGUGCCAUGUAUGGCCUGGAACCCUGCUGUCAUGCACCUCCCCCAUAGUAUACCCACUCACCGGGACCAAUGCCUGAAUUUGCAUGCUUCCUAUCCUGGGCAGGAUUGAACUGGUGCUUAUUUUAGGUCAUUCUUGGCCUCCCCUGGAUUCUGGUGUAUCUGAGGAAGUUUCAGUAUGCCUCCAAGACAAUCCGACUUCUGCCUGAUGACGCGUUUUGUCUAGAAAUAGGGUGGCAAAGAGUAUAUGGAGUUGGGGGCAGCAGUUCCUCUUCUAAGACUCCAAUGAGAUAGUAAAGACGCUAGGACCUGAGACCUCUAGACCCCCAACCUAUUCAUUCAUUCAAAUCACUUCUCUGUGAACCUAAUGCAUGCCAUGGACUAUGGAGGUACUGAAGAUGCAACAGUGACUUCAUGACAUUGUUGUCCUGCAGGAAUUCUAGACUCAGGGAAGGAGGUAGGGGUAAAAGAAAACUAAAGGGCAGUCCCAAGGAAGUUCUGAAUCCAGAUGUGACCUAUGGUCUUUCUCUGUUUCAGCUCUCUGCUUGUACAAUAGGGAUCAUGUUGUUCUGUUUGCAGCACAGGAUUGUGAAUACCUAUUCUACCAAUUAGAAUUACUAGCAGAAACUUAUCGUGGUGUCAG
RNAcentral lists this long non-coding RNA (1847 nucleotides) under Cricetulus griseus (Chinese hamster). Its description in RNAcentral is "lncRNA (ENSCGRG00015018114.2)". The record is from RNAcentral. Lineage: Eukaryota; Metazoa; Chordata; Mammalia; Rodentia; Cricetidae.